Molecule: unclassified non-coding RNA, 253 nt
Filed under: uncultured Gaiellales bacterium
Lineage: Bacteria; Bacillati; Actinomycetota; Thermoleophilia; Gaiellales
Description: contains 16S-23S intergenic spacer region
Rfam family: Bacterial small subunit ribosomal RNA
Source: RNAcentral
UACGUAGGGGGCAAGCGUUGUCCGGAAUCAUUGGGCGUAAAGCGCGUGUAGGCGGUCCUGUAAGUCUGGUGUGAAAGCCCGAGGCUCAACCUCGGAACUGCACCGGAAACUGCAGGGCUUGAGUUCGGAAGAGGAGAGUGGAAUUCCUGGUGUAGCGGUGGAAUGCGCAGAUAUCAGGAGGAACACCAAUGGCGAAGGCAGCUCUCUGGUACGUAACUGACGCUGAGACGCGAAAGCGUGGGGAGCGAACAGG